ACGGCUCAGUAACACGUGGCUAACCUACCCUCACGACGGGGAUAACCUCGGGAAACUGAGGAUAACCCCCGAUAGGCGAGGGGUUUUGGAAGAACCCUUCACCGAAAGGGAAAGGGAAAUGGACCUUAUCCGCGUGAGGAUGGGGCUGCGUCCCAUCAGGCAGUUGGUGGGGUAAUGGCCCACCAAACCUAUAACGGGUACGGGCCGUGAGAGCGGGAGCCCGGAGAUGGGCACUGAGACAAGGGCCCAGGCUCUACGGAGCGCACCAAGCGCGAAACCUUCGCAAUGCGGGAAACCGUGACGGGGCCAUCCCGAGUGCAGGCUGCUGAGGCCUGCUUUUACCCAGUGUAAGAAGCUGGGUGAAUAAGUGGGGGGCAAGACUGGUGUCAGCCGCCGCGGUAAUACCAGCUCCACGAGUGGUCAGGACGGUUAUUGGGCCUAAAGCGUCCGUAGCUGGCCCAGUAAGUUUAUGGUGAAAUCCGGCAUCUCAAGUGUCGGAGUGCUGUAAAUACUGCUGGGCUAGGGAGCGGGAGAGGCCGGGGGUACCUCUGGGGUAGGGGCGAAAUCCUAUAAUCCCAGAGUGACGACCAGUGGCGAAAGCGCCCGGCUAGAACGCGUCCGACAGUGAGGGACGAAAGCUGGGGUAGCAAACCGGAUUAGAUACCCGGGUAGUCCCAGCCGUAAACUAUGCGGGCUAGUUGUCGGAACGGCUUAGGGCCGUUUCGGUAACGCAGGGAAGCCGUUAAGCCCGCCGCCUGGGGAGUACGACCGCAAGGUUGAAACUUAAAGGAAUUGGCGGGGGAG
RNAcentral lists this ribosomal RNA (804 nucleotides) under uncultured archaeon. RNAcentral's name for it is "bacterial SSU rRNA". It matches the Rfam family "Archaeal small subunit ribosomal RNA", at positions 85 to 876 of the family's 1478-position model. The record is from RNAcentral.